GACAAACGCUGGCGGCAUGCCUAACACAUGCAAGUCGAACGGACAGAACAGGGAAGCUUUUCGGAGUGGAACUGGAAAGUUAGUGGCGGAUGGGUGAGUAACGUGUGGACAACCUACCUUGUAAAGGGGAAUAACCUCGAGAAAUCGAAGCUAAUACCCCAUAAUAACCUUGCUUCGCAUGAAGUAAGGAGGAAAGGCGGCCUUAGCGCUGUCGAUACAAGAUGGGUCCGCGUCUGAUUAGCUAGUUGGUGAGGUAAAGGCUCACCAAGGCGACGAUCAGUAGCCGGCCUGAGAGGGUGAACGGCCACAUUGGGACUGAGACACGGCCCAAACUCCUACGGGAGGCAGCAGUGGGGAAUCUUCCGCAAUGGGCGAAAGCCUGACGGAGCAAUGCCGCGUGAGUGAAGAAGGCCUUCGGGUUGUAAAACUCUGUCCUUAUCGAAGAGAGAGUGUUGUAGUAACUGACAAUACUAGGACGGUAGAUGAGGAGGAAGCCCCGGCUAACUAUGUG
This 511-nucleotide ribosomal RNA is filed under the name uncultured bacterium. Its description in RNAcentral is "partial 16S ribosomal RNA". It matches the Rfam family "Bacterial small subunit ribosomal RNA", at positions 28 to 507 of the family's 1533-position model. The record is from RNAcentral.